GACGAACGCUGGCGGCGUGCUUAACACAUGCAAGUCGAGCGGUAAGGCCCUUUCGGGGGUACACGAGCGGCGAACGGGUGAGUAACACGUGGGUGACCUGCCCUCAGCUCUGGGAUAAGCCCGGGAAACUGGGUCUAAUACCGGAUAUGACUUCAUGACGCAUGUUGUGGAGUGGAAAGCCUUGUGCGGCUGAGGAUGGGGCCCGCGGCCUAUCAGCUUGUUGGUGGGGUGANGGCCUACCAAGGCGACGACGGGUAGCCGGCCUGAGAGGGCGACCGGCCACACUGGGACUGAGAUACGGCCCAGACUCCUACGGGAGGCAGCAGUGGGGAAUCUUGCGCAAUGGGCGAAAGCCUGACGCAGCGACGCCGCGUGAGGGAUGAC
Molecule: ribosomal RNA, 384 nt
Filed under: uncultured bacterium
Lineage: Bacteria
Description: bacterial SSU rRNA
Rfam family: Bacterial small subunit ribosomal RNA
Source: RNAcentral